This 406-nucleotide ribosomal RNA is filed under the name uncultured bacterium. Its description in RNAcentral is "partial 16S ribosomal RNA". It matches the Rfam family "Bacterial small subunit ribosomal RNA", at positions 30 to 526 of the family's 1533-position model. The record is from RNAcentral.
AUUGAACGCUGGCGGCAGGCCUAACACAUGCAAGUCGAACGAGUGGCGGACGGGUGAGUAAUGUCUGGGAAACUGCCUGAUGGAGGGGGAUAACUACUGGAAACGGUAGCUAAUACCGCAUACCAUCGGAUGUGCCCAGAUGGGAUUAGCUAGUAGGUGGGGUAAAGGCUCACCUAGGCGACGAUCCCUAGCUGGUUGGAGAGGAUGACGAGCCACAGUGGAAUGGAGACACGGUCCAGACUCCUACGGGAGGACGCAGUGGGGAAUAUUGAACAAGGGGCGCAAGCCUGAGGCAGCCAUGCCGCGUGUAUGAAGAAGGCCUUCGGGUUGUAAAGUACUUUCAUCGGGGAGGCGUUACCCGCAGAAGAAGCACCGGCUAACUCCGUGCCAGCCGCCGCGGUAAUUC